UAAUUUCUUCGGGGUAAGGUGAGAAAGUUUAAACUUUCAAUUCCUAACCGGCGGUUAUAGCCCGCGAGCCUUAUGGCAGGAACUGGUGAAAUUCCAGUGCCGACAGUAAAGUCUGGAUGAGAGAAGAAAAAA
Molecule: non-coding RNA, 132 nt
Filed under: Desulfonispora thiosulfatigenes
Lineage: Bacteria; Bacillati; Bacillota; Clostridia; Eubacteriales; Peptococcaceae
Also listed under: 1 other name
Description: FMN sequence
Rfam family: FMN riboswitch aptamer (RFN element)
About the family: The RFN element is a highly conserved domain that is found frequently in the 5'-untranslated regions of prokaryotic mRNAs that encode for flavin mononucleotide (FMN) biosynthesis and transport proteins. This element is a metabolite-dependent riboswitch that directly binds FMN in the absence of proteins. In Bacillus subtilis, the riboswitch most likely controls gene expression by causing premature transcription termination within the 5' untranslated region of the ribDEAHT operon and precluding access to the ribosome-binding site of ypaA mRNA.
Source: RNAcentral